RNAcentral lists this ribosomal RNA (253 nucleotides) under uncultured bacterium. Its description in RNAcentral is "partial 16S ribosomal RNA". It matches the Rfam family "Bacterial small subunit ribosomal RNA", at positions 524 to 776 of the family's 1533-position model. The record is from RNAcentral.
UACGUAGGGGGCAAGCGUUGUCCGGAGUUACUGGGCGUAAAGCGCACGCAGGCGGUCUCUUAAGUUUGGAGUGACAGUUGGUGGCUUAACUGCCAAAGUGCUUCGAAAACUGAGAGACUUGAGGGCUUCAGAGGGACACGGAAUUCCGGGUGGAGUGGUGAAAUGCGUAGAGAUCCGGAGGAACACCAAAGGCGAAGGCAGUUAGCUGGGCAGUUGCUGACACUGAGGCGCGACAGCGUGGGGAGCAAACAGG